Molecule: ribosomal RNA, 513 nt
Filed under: uncultured bacterium
Lineage: Bacteria
Description: bacterial SSU rRNA
Rfam family: Bacterial small subunit ribosomal RNA
Source: RNAcentral
CUACGUGCCAGCAGCCGCGGUAAUACGUAGGGCGCGAGCGUUGUCCGGAAUUAUUGGGCGUAAAGAGCUUGUAGGCGGUUUGUCGCGUCUGCUGUGAAAGGCCGGAGCUUAACUCCGUGUAUUGCAGUGGGUACGGGCAGACUAGAGUGCAGUAGGGGAGACUGGAAUUCCUGGUGUAGCGGUGGAAUGCGCAGAUAUCAGGAGGAACACCGAUGGCGAAGGCAGGUCUCUGGGCUGUAACUGACGCUGAGAAGCGAAAGCAUGGGGAGCGAACAGGAUUAGAUACCCUGGUAGUCCAUGCCGUAAACGUUGGGCACUAGGUGUGGGGAACAUUCCACGUUUUCCGCGCCGUAGCUAACGCAUUAAGUGCCCCGCCUGGGGAGUACGGCCGCAAGGCUAAAACUCAAAGAAAUUGACGGGGGCCCGCACAAGCGGCGGAGCAUGCGGAUUAAUUCGAUGCAACGCGAAGAACCUUACCAAGGCUUGACAUCCCUCUGACCGCUCUAGAGAUAG